This 500-nucleotide ribosomal RNA is filed under the name uncultured bacterium. RNAcentral's name for it is "partial 16S ribosomal RNA". It matches the Rfam family "Bacterial small subunit ribosomal RNA", at positions 29 to 523 of the family's 1533-position model. The record is from RNAcentral.
AACGAACGCUGGCGGCGUGCCUAACACAUGCAAGUCGCACGAGAAAGUCCUUCGGGAUGAGUAGAGUGGCGCACGGGUGAGUAAUGCAUGGGAACGUGCCUCUAAGAGGGGGAUAACUACGGGAAACUGUAGCUAAUACCGCAUAAUAUCGAGAGACUAAAGGUGGCCUCUGGUUGCAAGCUACUAAUUAGCGAUUGGCCCAUGUCCCAUUAGCCAGUUGGCGGGGUAACAGCCCACCAAGGCUACGAUGGGUAGCUGGUUUUAGAGGAUGAUCAGCCACACUGGAACUGAGACACGGUCCAGACUCCUACGGGAGGCAGCAGUGGGGAAUUUUGCACAAUGGGGGAAACCCUGAUGCAGCAACGCCGCGUGAGUGAUGAAGGCCUUUGGGUUGUAAAGCUCUUUCGGUUGGGAAGAAGGGUGGUAUGGCUAAUAUCCAUAUUAUUUGACGGUACCAAAAGAAGAAGCACCUGCUAACUUCGUGCCAGCCGCCGCAGUAA